Molecule: transfer RNA, 63 nt
Filed under: Bradyrhizobium japonicum
Lineage: Bacteria; Pseudomonadati; Pseudomonadota; Alphaproteobacteria; Hyphomicrobiales; Nitrobacteraceae
Description: partial tRNA-Phe
Rfam family: tRNA
About the family: Transfer RNA (tRNA) molecules are approximately 80 nucleotides in length.
Source: RNAcentral
GUUGGUAGAGCCAUGCGACUGAAAAUCGCAGUGUCGGUGGUUCGAUUCCGCCCCUGGGCACCA